AUGAAGGAUUUAGGAGUGGCUGAUGUCAUUCUGAACAUCAAGUUGUUGAGAGAUUAUGAUGGUGGGAUUACAUUGCUUCAAUCUCACUAUGUGGAAAAGAUAAAGGCCACGAGCGGAUAUGUGUUCACUCAUGGAGGUGGCACUGUUUCUUGGAAGUCUUGCAAGCAGACCAUCUUAACGAGGUCAACUAUGGAAGCAGAACUCACAGCACUAGAUACAGCUACGGUCGAAGCAGAUUGGCUUCGCCGGCUCUUGAAUGACUUGCCGGUUGUUGAGAAACCUGUACCGGGUAUCCUUAUGAACUGUGACAAUCAAACUGUGAUCACGAAAGUGAACAGCUCUAAGGAUAACAUGAAGUCAUCAAGACACGUUCAGAGAAGGUUAAAGUCUGUCAGGAAAAUGAGAAACUCCGGAGUUAUUGCAUUGGAUUAUAUCCAAACGUCUAAAAAUCAGGCAGAUCCUUUUACUAAGGGUCUAUCGCGUAAUGUGAUAGAUAAUGCAUCAAGGGAGAUGGGUAUGAGACCCACAAUAUGA
RNAcentral lists this ribosomal RNA (534 nucleotides) under Triticum aestivum (bread wheat). RNAcentral's name for it is "partial small subunit ribosomal RNA". The record is from RNAcentral. Lineage: Eukaryota; Viridiplantae; Streptophyta; Magnoliopsida; Poales; Poaceae.